GUUGGGUAGGGGAGCGUUCUGUAAGCCUGCGAAGGUGGCCUGUGAGGGUUGCUGGAGGUAUCAGAAGUGCGAAUGCUGACAUAAGUAACGAUAAAGCGGGUGAAAAGCCCGCUCGCCGGAAGACCAAGGGUUCCUGUCCAACGUUAAUCGGGGCAGGGUGAGUCGACCCCUAAGGCGAGGCCGAAAGGCGUAGUCGAUGGGAAACGGGUUAAUAUUCCC
This 219-nucleotide ribosomal RNA is filed under the name Salmonella enterica subsp. enterica serovar Newport str. WA_14900. RNAcentral describes it as "partial 23S ribosomal RNA". It matches the Rfam family "Bacterial large subunit ribosomal RNA", at positions 1223 to 1440 of the family's 2925-position model. RNAcentral also lists the same sequence under 1 other name. Lineage: Bacteria; Pseudomonadati; Pseudomonadota; Gammaproteobacteria; Enterobacterales; Enterobacteriaceae. The record is from RNAcentral.